GACCCUAUAGAGUUUUAUAUUUAAUUAAUAAAUUAUUUUUUAGAAUUUAAUAUUAAUUUAUUUAUUAAAUAUUUGAUUGGGGUGAUUGAAAAAUUUAAGUAACUUUUUUUAUAUAUAAACAUUAAUAUAUGACUAUUUGAUCCAUUAUUUAUGAUUACAAGAUUAAAUUACCUUAGGGAUAACAGCGUAAUUUUUUUUAAGAGUUCAAAUCGAAAGAAAAGAUUGCGACCUCGAUGUUGGAUUAAAAUUUAUUUUUGGUGUAGAAGCUAAAUUAAUUGGGUCUGUUCGACCUUUAAAAUUUUACAUGAUCUG
Molecule: ribosomal RNA, 312 nt
Filed under: Pharaxonotha portophylla
Lineage: Eukaryota; Metazoa; Arthropoda; Insecta; Coleoptera; Erotylidae
Description: partial 16S large subunit ribosomal RNA
Rfam family: Bacterial large subunit ribosomal RNA (bases 178-312)
Source: RNAcentral